This 246-nucleotide ribosomal RNA is filed under the name uncultured bacterium. RNAcentral describes it as "partial 16S ribosomal RNA". It matches the Rfam family "Bacterial small subunit ribosomal RNA", at positions 336 to 599 of the family's 1533-position model. The record is from RNAcentral.
CUCCUACGGGGGGCAGCAGUGGGGAAUAUUGCACAAUGGGGGAAACCCUGAUGCAGCAACGCCGCGUGAGUGAAGAAGUAUUUCGGUAUGUAAAGCUCUAUCCGCAGGGAAGAAGAUGACGGUACCUGAUUAAGAAGCCCCGGCUAACUACGUGCCAGCAGCCGCGGCAAUACGUAGGGGGCAAGCGUUAUCCGGAUUUACUGGGUGUAAAGGGAGCGCAGACGGCAGUGCAAGUCUGGAGUGAAA